Molecule: ribosomal RNA, 93 nt
Filed under: Platystele oxyglossa
Lineage: Eukaryota; Viridiplantae; Streptophyta; Magnoliopsida; Asparagales; Orchidaceae
Description: partial 18S small subunit ribosomal RNA
Rfam family: Eukaryotic small subunit ribosomal RNA
Source: RNAcentral
GUGACUCUGUGAGAAGUCCAUUGAACCUUAUCAUUUAGAGGAAGGAGAAGUCGUAACAAGGUUUCCGUAGGUGAACCUGCGGAAGGAUCAUUG